ACAACAACUACCCAGUAUAUUCCCACUAGGUGGGGUCUGGGGAGGGUAAUAUGUAGACUAGCCUUACCCCUGUCCGAAAGGGCAGAGAGGCUGUUUCCAGUCGACCCUCGACUUAUAGGAUAAAAAAGAGAAAGCUGCAUUAAGAAACAAAGGUAAAAUUAGAAACACAAGCAAGACAAAACAAAAUAAUAAAGCACAAGUACUCCCGCAGAAAUAACGUAAAUAAUUN
RNAcentral lists this long non-coding RNA (229 nucleotides) under Nicotiana benthamiana. RNAcentral describes it as "long non-coding RNA (NBEN_LNC024816)". Lineage: Eukaryota; Viridiplantae; Streptophyta; Magnoliopsida; Solanales; Solanaceae. The record is from RNAcentral.